AUGAACGCUGGCGGCGUGCCUAAUACAUGCAAGUCGAGCGAACGGACGAGAAGCUUGCUUCUCUGAUGUUAGCGGCGGACGGGUGAGUAACACGUGGAUAACCUACCUAUAAGACUGGGAUAACUUCGGGAAACCGUAGCUAAUACCGGAUAAUAUUUUGAACCGCAUGGUUCAAAAGUGAAAGACGGUCUUGCUGUCACUUAUAGAUGGAUCCGCGCUGCAUUAGCUAGUUGGUAAGGUAACGGCUUACCAAGGCAACGAUGCAUAGCCGACCUGAGAGGGUGAUCGGCCACACGGGAACUGAGACACGGUCCAGACUCCUACGGGAGGCAGCAGUAGGGAAUCUUCCGCAAUGGGCGAAAGCCUGACGGAGCAACGCCGCGUGAGUGAUGAAGGUCUUCGGAUCGUAAAACUCUGUUAUUAGGGAAGAACAUAUGUGUAAGUAACUGUGCACAUCUUGACGGUACCUAAUCAGAAAGCCACGGCUAACUACGUG
RNAcentral lists this ribosomal RNA (496 nucleotides) under uncultured bacterium. RNAcentral describes it as "partial 16S ribosomal RNA". It matches the Rfam family "Bacterial small subunit ribosomal RNA", at positions 29 to 507 of the family's 1533-position model. The record is from RNAcentral.